RNAcentral lists this ribosomal RNA (725 nucleotides) under uncultured archaeon. RNAcentral's name for it is "bacterial SSU rRNA". It matches the Rfam family "Archaeal small subunit ribosomal RNA", at positions 57 to 765 of the family's 1478-position model. The record is from RNAcentral.
GUCUCCAAGCUAUGAUGGAGACGCGGCGUACAGCUCAGUAACACGUGGCUAACCCACCCUUGAGACGGAGACAACCCCGGGAAACUGGGGCUAAUCCCCGAUAGGAGAAGACACCUGGAAGGGGUCUUCUCCCAAAAGGCGUUUAGAUCAUGCUUCUAGACGUCGCUCAAGGACGGGGCCGCGGCCGAUCAGGUUGUUGGUGAGGCAAUGGCUCACCAAGCCUAUAACCGGUACGGGCCGUGAGAGCGGGAGCCCGGAGAUGGGCACUGAGACAAGGGCCCAGGCCCUACGGGGCGCAGCAGUUGCGAAAACUCCGCAAUGCACGAAAGUGUGACGGGGCUACCCCGAGUGCCGUCCGCUGAGGGCGGCUUUUCCCCGGUGUAAGGAGCCGGGGGAAUAAGGAGAGGGCAAGUCUGGUGUCAGCCGCCGCGGUAAUACCAGCUCUCCGAGUGGUAGGGAUGAUUAUUGGGCUUAAAGCGUCCGUAGCUGGCCUAGCAAGUCUUCCGUUAAAUCCACCGAUUCAAUCGUUGGACUGCGGGGGAUACUGUUGGGCUUGGGGACGGGAGAGGCCGACGGUAUUCCCGGAGUAGGGGUGAAAUCCUAUAAUUCCGGGAGGACCACCAGUGGCGAAGGCUGUCGGCUAGAACGAGCUCGACGGUGAGGGACGAAAGCUGGGGGAGCGAACCGGAUUAGAUACCCGGGUAGUCCCAGCCGUAACGAUGCGG